Molecule: ribosomal RNA, 207 nt
Filed under: uncultured bacterium
Lineage: Bacteria
Description: partial 16S ribosomal RNA
Rfam family: Bacterial small subunit ribosomal RNA
Source: RNAcentral
CUCGUAGGCGGUUUGUCGCGUCGGGAGUGAAAACCUCGGGCUUAACUCGGGGCUUGCUUUCGAUACGGGCAGACUAGAGGUAUGCAGGGGAGAACGGAAUUCCUGGUGUAGCGGUGAAAUGCGCAGAUAUCAGGAGGAACACCGGUGGCGAAGGCGGUUCUCUGGGCAUGACCUGACGCUGAGGAGCGAAAGUGUGGGGAGCGAACA